CACCCGGGGACAGUGAUGAGCGCGUCUGGAGGAGGUGUGCUCAGCUAGGAGAGCUUCUCCACUUGAUGAUGGAGCUCCUGCAAAAGCUGAGAACACUGAUCUGAAGCUGCAUCCUGCAAGCACUCGCUGGUGAAUGGUGAGAGGUCCUCAACAACCAUCAACCUGACACGAGAAGGAAACAGUAGAGUUUCCUGGAUAAUAAAGCUGGGAAAAGGCUCUCUCAGAUUGGGAAUAUCUGCAGUCUUGAGGGAAUAACAAACCAGUACUGGAAGUUACUAUAAGUAAGAAGCAUAAAGUUUUGGAUCUAUUUGGUAUAACU
Long non-coding RNA from Pogoniulus pusillus (Red-fronted tinkerbird), 319 nucleotides. RefSeq lists it as uncharacterized. The transcript is spliced from 3 exons. The record is from RefSeq and is a predicted model, not a curated record. Lineage: Eukaryota; Metazoa; Chordata; Aves; Piciformes; Lybiidae.